Molecule: ribosomal RNA, 517 nt
Filed under: uncultured bacterium
Lineage: Bacteria
Description: bacterial SSU rRNA
Rfam family: Bacterial small subunit ribosomal RNA
Source: RNAcentral
GGGGAAUUUUGCACAAUGGGGGAAACCCUGAUGCAGCGACGCCGCGUGAUUUAGAAGGCCUUCGGGUUGUAAAAAUCUUUUGUAUAGGAAGAAAAUGACAGUACUAUACGAAUAAGGUCCGGCUAAUUACGUGCCAGCAGCCGCGGUAAUACGUAAGGACCGAGCGUUGUCCGGAAUCAUUGGGCGUAAAGGGUACGUAGGCGGGUCAUUAAGUUAGAAGUCAAAGGCUAUAGCUCAACUAUAGUAAGCUUCUAAAACUGGAGACCUUGAGUAAUGGAAGGGAAAGUGGAAUUCCUAGUGUAGCGGUGGAAUGCGCAGAUAUUAGGAGGAAUACCGGUGGCGAAGGCGACUUUCUGGCCAUUAACUGACGCUGAGGUACGAAAGCGUGGGUAGCAAACAGGAUUAGAUACCCUGGUAGUCCACGCCGUAAACGAUGAGUGUUAGGUGUCUGGAGUAAAUCUGGGUGCCGCAGCUAACGCAUUAAACACUCCGCCUGGGGAGUACGCACGCAAGUGUG